UUUAGUGGCGGACGGGUGAGUAACGCGUGAGAAUCUACCUUCAGGACGGAGACAACAGUUGGAAACGACUGCUAACCCCCGAUGUACUGAAAAGGCAAAUAUUUAUAGCCUGAAGAAGAGCUCGCGUCCGAUUAGCUAGUUGGAGAGGUAAAAGCUCACCAAGGCGACGAUCGGUAGCUGGUCUGAGAGGACGAUCAGCCACACUGGGACUGAGACACGGCCCAG
This 225-nucleotide ribosomal RNA is filed under the name uncultured bacterium. RNAcentral's name for it is "partial 16S ribosomal RNA". It matches the Rfam family "Bacterial small subunit ribosomal RNA", at positions 91 to 334 of the family's 1533-position model. The record is from RNAcentral.